AGUGUCAGGUGAUGUGACAUACACCAUCAUAUACCAAAGGAAGAACAAAGAGUCGGAAGUGUCCAGAGAAGAUACCAAGUCAUCUUCACCAGACGAAAAUAUCCUCUAUUCUCUAGUCAUCUUUCAGGCUGCUCACACCCGACUGAAGGACUGAGGAGAUGGUCAGUUCAAAGCUAUGCUUAUAAAAGGGAGGAAGUCAUACUGUUCAGUCAC
Seriola aureovittata is the source of this 213-nucleotide long non-coding RNA. RefSeq lists it as uncharacterized. NCBI's taxonomy places the organism in Eukaryota, Metazoa, Chordata, Actinopteri, Carangiformes, Carangidae. The transcript is spliced from 3 exons. The record is from RefSeq and is a predicted model, not a curated record.